This 793-nucleotide ribosomal RNA is filed under the name Lactobacillus sp. CRA21. Its description in RNAcentral is "bacterial SSU rRNA". It matches the Rfam family "Bacterial small subunit ribosomal RNA", at positions 62 to 830 of the family's 1533-position model. The record is from RNAcentral. Lineage: Bacteria; Bacillati; Bacillota; Bacilli; Lactobacillales; Lactobacillaceae.
UCUGGUAUUGAUUGGUGCUUGCAUCAUGAUUUACAUUUGAGUGAGUGGCGAACUGGUGAGUAACACGUGGGAAACCUGCCCAGAAGCGGGGGAUAACACCUGGAAACAGAUGCUAAUACCGCAUAACAACUUGGACCGCAUGGUCCGAGCUUGAAAGAUGGCUUCGGCUAUCACUUUUGGAUGGUCCCGCGGCGUAUUAGCUAGAUGGUGGGGUAACGGCUCACCAUGGCAAUGAUACGUAGCCGACCUGAGAGGGUAAUCGGCCACAUUGGGACUGAGACACGGCCCAAACUCCUACGGGAGGCAGCAGUAGGGAAUCUUCCACAAUGGACGAAAGUCUGAUGGAGCAACGCCGCGUGAGUGAAGAAGGGUUUCGGCUCGUAAAACUCUGUUGUUAAAGAAGAACAUAUCUGAGAGUAACUGUUCAGGUAUUGACGGUAUUUAACCAGAAAGCCACGGCUAACUACGUGCCAGCAGCCGCGGUAAUACGUAGGUGGCAAGCGUUGUCCGGAUUUAUUGGGCGUAAAGCGAGCGCAGGCGGUUUUUUAAGUCUGAUGUGAAAGCCUUCGGCUCAACCGAAGAAGUGCAUCGGAAACUGGGAAACUUGAGUGCAGAAGAGGACAGUGGAACUCCAUGUGUAGCGGUGAAAUGCGUAGAUAUAUGGAAGAACACCAGUGGCGAAAGCGGCUGUCUGGUCUGUAACUGACGCUGAGGCUCGAAAGUAUGGGUAGCAAACAGGAUUAGAUACCCUGGUAGUCCAUACCGUAAACGAUGAAUGCUAAGUGUUGGAGGG